This is a non-coding RNA of Penaeus vannamei (Pacific white shrimp), 1115 nucleotides long. The record is from RefSeq and is a predicted model, not a curated record. Lineage: Eukaryota; Metazoa; Arthropoda; Malacostraca; Decapoda; Penaeidae.
CUCUCUCUUCUCUCUCACUCUCACUCUCUUUUCAUUUCAGUUUUUCCCAUUCCUUCCUUCCUCGUUAGACAAUAUUACUUUUCUCAAGUAUUUUACAUACUGCCACUUUUCUUUUCAGAGGUCUUGCCAUUAUACUUGAUUUUUAAAGUGUGUCACCCAGUUAUACAAAUGACACCUUAUUAUCCCACACAAUCCUCAGAGAAGGCCUGUCAUCUGAGGAAUUUGCUAUUUUAGAAAAGGGUUAGACUUUGUGAUUAGACAGGUGGAGCACUUUCCAGUAUGUCACUUCCAGAAAUCAUAAGUCUGGUCUACGUCAUUGCAAUGUGUACCAUGUAAGUUUUUUUUUAUUUAUUUAUAAUUCAUAUUCAACUAGACAGGAAAAAUGGAUGUCAUUUGUUUUUAUUUGACUAAUUUUUACCCAGUGUUAAAGAUAGAUAAAGGUAUCAUAUUAAGGUUGCUAUUAACUCCUACAAAGUUCAUAACUGUAGUCAUAAUUGGUUCCAUAACCAUGAAUACCUCCUUUUCUGCAAUUUAAUGUUUAUUUUAACAAGUAUUCAGUGAGUUUCUUAUUACCAAACACAAUUUGAUUAAAGAAUGAAAUAGAAUUGACUUCCACCAUGGUGUCCAUGAAGUAUUCUAUCCUAAUUUAAUACUUACGGAACCUAAAUGUAAUAGUAAUUACUAUGACUAUUCCUUAAAAUUUCCACAAUUCACUAAUUCAGAACCAACAAGUUAAGUAUAGCUUUAGAAUCUGAAAAGAGAAAACAGAGCAAAGAAAGAAGCUUUUGUAGGAGAAACUGUUGGGUGUACGUGAAUGUCUUGCAGAGGCUGACAAAGUAGUUACAACUGUGAAUCAUGCCUCCACCCCUAUACACUGUUUUUCAAUUGCCAAACAAAAUCUCUGAGUUUCUAGUGCUGAUUUAUAAAUGCAUUAGGAAUAAGUAUCAUUAAUGGAGUGGUUUUAUCUUUGGCACCAAUAAUGAUGUCUUGUUUCCUUGUAUAUGUAAGGGUUUAUGUUUGUAAUUGUAUGUAUAUAUGUCAUAUUCUGGUGUAAAUAAUGAUUACAGCUUGCAAUGUUUUGUAUUUCUGGGAAGUUAUUAAAUAUAUACAGAAUA